CAAUAGCGUAUAUUAAAGUUGUUGCAGUUAAAAAGCUCGUAGUUGGAUUUUGAGUUUAGUAAGAUUGGUCUGCUAUAUAGUAGUACUGACUUGCUGGCUCUUCUUCUCGAGACCUAUGAGUGCUCUUAAUCGGGUGUUCACUAGUGUUCGGGACUUUUACCGUGAGAAAAUUAGAGUGUUCAUAGCAGGCGUUUGCUUGAAUAUUGCAGCAUGGAAUAAUGGAAUAGGAUCAUGAUCUUAUUUUAUUGGUUUCUAAGAUCAAGAUAAUGAUUAAUAGGGAUAGUUGGGGGCGUUAAUAUUUAGUUGUCAGAGGUGAAAUUCUUAGAUUUACAAAAGAUUAACUUCUGCGAAAGCAUUCGCCAAGGAUGUUUNCGUUAA
Molecule: ribosomal RNA, 378 nt
Filed under: uncultured eukaryote
Lineage: Eukaryota
Description: partial 18S ribosomal RNA
Rfam family: Eukaryotic small subunit ribosomal RNA
Source: RNAcentral